Molecule: long non-coding RNA, 371 nt
Organism: Rhipicephalus sanguineus (brown dog tick)
Lineage: Eukaryota; Metazoa; Arthropoda; Arachnida; Ixodida; Ixodidae
Exons: 3
Source: RefSeq, a predicted model, not a curated record
UCUUUCGCUCCGUUUUUCUUCAUCAGGCCCCCAAUACAGAGCUUUCGCGUGUCGAACUUAGAUUGCCGUGUUUCAGACUUAAAGCGCGAAUCAUUCCAUGUCAUGUUGAGGCGGUGCGCUUGACAGUGUGACGGAGAUAAGUUCGAUGAGCGUAAUAUGUGGCGGGGAAGGCGUCGUUUCCCGCCUUUUUUUGUAUUAGCCGGUGUAGGGAUGUGAUUCCAAGCUCUGCAUAUUCUGUCACCUGACUGACACAACAAGCCGAUGUUCGUCCUUGUGGUUGGGUCACGAUGCCGCCAUCUUUCGACGGUUGACACAACAAGCCGAUGUUCGUCCUUGUGGUUGGGUCACGAUGCCGCCAUCUUUCGACGGGU